AGAGUUUGAUCAUGGCUCAGGACGAACGCUGGCGGCGUGCCUAACACAUGCAAGUCGAGCGGGGAUUAGCGUAAGAUUUAUCUUGUGCGAAAUCCUAGCGGCGGACGGGUGAGUAACGCGUGAGCAACCUACCUGUCAGAGGGGGAUAACACAUCGAAAGGUGUGCUAAUACCGCAUGAAGUAUAGUUGCCGCAUGGUAAUUAUACCAAAGCGAAUAAGUGCUGACAGAUGGGCUCGCGUCCCAUUAGCUAGUUGGUAGGGUAAAGGCCUACCAAGGCGACGAUGGGUAGCCGACCUGAGAGGGUGGACGGCCACAUUGGGACUGAGACACGGCCCAGACUCCUACGGGAGGCAGCAGUGGGGAAUAUUGCGCAAUGGGGGGAACCCUGACGCAGCAACGCCGCGUGAAGGAAGAAGGCCUUCGGGUUGUAAACUUUUGUCUUUUGGGAAGAAGGAAUGACGGUACCAAAGGAGGAAGCCACGGCUAACUACGUGCCAGCAGCCGCGGUAAUACGUAGGUGGCGAGCGUUGUCCGGAAUUACUGGGUGUAGAGGGUGCGUAGGCGGGAAUGCAAGUCAGAUGUGAAAUACCGGGGCUCAACCCCGGGGCUGCAUUUGAAACUGCAUAUCUUGAGUGCAGGAGAGGGAAGCGGAAUUCCUAGUGUAGCGGUGAAAUGCGUAGAGAUUAGGGAGGAACACCAGUGGCGAAGGCGGCUUUCUGGACUGUAACUGACGCUGAGGCACGAAAGCGUGGGGAGCGAACAGGAUUAGA
This 771-nucleotide ribosomal RNA is filed under the name uncultured bacterium. Its description in RNAcentral is "bacterial SSU rRNA". It matches the Rfam family "Bacterial small subunit ribosomal RNA", at positions 8 to 782 of the family's 1533-position model. The record is from RNAcentral.